GUGGGGAAUUUUGGACAAUGGGGGCAACCCUGAUCCAGCCAUUCCGCGUGAGUGAAGAAGGCCUUCGGGUUGUAAAGCUCUUUCAGCAGGAACGAAACGGUGGCUACUAAUACUAGCUACUAAUGACGGUACCUGAAGAAGAAGCACCGGCUAACUACGUGCCAGCAGCCGCGGUAAUACGUAGGGUGCGAGCGUUAAUCGGAAUUACUGGGCGUAAAGCGUGCGCAGGCGGUUCCAUAAGACAGAUGUGAAAUCCCCGGGCUUAACCUGGGAACUGCGUUUGUGACUGUGGGACUGGAGUGUGGCAGAGGGGGGUGGAAUUCCACGUGUAGCAGUGAAAUGCGUAGAGAUGUGGAGGAACACCGAUGGCGAAGGCAGCCCCCUGGGUCAACACUGACGCUCAUGCACGAAAGCGUGGGGAGCAAACAGGAUUAGAAACCCUAGUAGUCC
RNAcentral lists this ribosomal RNA (450 nucleotides) under uncultured bacterium. RNAcentral describes it as "bacterial SSU rRNA". It matches the Rfam family "Bacterial small subunit ribosomal RNA", at positions 354 to 796 of the family's 1533-position model. The record is from RNAcentral.